Molecule: ribosomal RNA, 253 nt
Filed under: uncultured bacterium
Lineage: Bacteria
Description: partial 16S ribosomal RNA
Rfam family: Bacterial small subunit ribosomal RNA
Source: RNAcentral
UACGAAGGGGGCUAGCGUUGUUCGGAAUUACUGGGCGUAAAGCGCACGUAGGCGGAUAUUUAAGUCAGGGGUGAAAUCCCGGGGCUCAACCCCGGAACUGCCUUUGAUACUGGGUAUCUCGAGUCCGAGAGAGGUGAGUGGAAUUCCGAGUGUAGAGGUGAAAUUCGUAGAUAUCUGGAGGAACACCGGUGGCGAAGGCGGCAUCCUGGACCGGUAUUGACGCUGAGGCGCGAAAGCCAGGGGAGCAAACGGG